UACAGAGGGUGCGAACGUUGCUCGGAAUUACUGGGCGUAAAGCGCAUGUAGGCGGAUCCAUAAGUCGGGCGUGAAAUCCCCAGGCUCAACCUGGGAACUGCGCUCGAAACUGUGGGUCUCGAGUGUCGGAGAGGAUGGCGGAAUUCCUGGUGUAGAGGUGAAAUGCGUAGAGAUGUGGAGGAACACCAGUGGCGAAGGCGACUCUUUGGCCUGUAACUGACGCUGAGGCGCGAAAGCGUGGGGAGCAAACAGG
This 253-nucleotide ribosomal RNA is filed under the name uncultured bacterium. RNAcentral's name for it is "partial 16S ribosomal RNA". It matches the Rfam family "Bacterial small subunit ribosomal RNA", at positions 524 to 776 of the family's 1533-position model. The record is from RNAcentral.